AGUGAACGCUGGCGGAAUGCUUUACACAUGCAAGUCGAGCGGCAGCGCGGCCUUCGGGCUGGCGGCGAGCGGCGAACGGGCGAGUAAUGCAUCGGAACAUGCCCAGUCGUGGGGGAUAACACUUCGAAAGAAGUGCUAAUACCGCAUACGUCCUGAGGGGGAAAGCGGGGGAUCGCAAGACCUCGCGCGAUUGGAGUGGCCGAUGUCAGAUUAGCUAGUUGGUGGGGUAACGGCCUACCAAGGCGCCGAUCGGUAGCUGGUCUGAGAGGAUGAUCAGCCACACUAGGACUGAGACUCGGCCCAGACUCCUACGGGAUGCAGCAGUGGGGAAUUUUGGACAAUGGCGGCGACCCUGAUCCAGCCAUUCCGCGUGAGUUGAGACGGCCUUCGGGUUGUAAAGCUCUUUCGGCAGGAACGAAACGGUGGGCUCUAACAUAGUCCGCUAAUGACGGUACCUGAAGAAGAAGCACCGGCUAACUACGUG
RNAcentral lists this ribosomal RNA (484 nucleotides) under uncultured bacterium. Its description in RNAcentral is "partial 16S ribosomal RNA". It matches the Rfam family "Bacterial small subunit ribosomal RNA", at positions 29 to 507 of the family's 1533-position model. The record is from RNAcentral.